Molecule: long non-coding RNA, 766 nt
Organism: Dendrobium catenatum
Lineage: Eukaryota; Viridiplantae; Streptophyta; Magnoliopsida; Asparagales; Orchidaceae
Exons: 3
Source: RefSeq, a predicted model, not a curated record
CAUCCUCGGCGGUCUCAUGACAUUAGCAGCGAGCAGCCGCCCUCUUCCCCGAGCUCGUAACCUAACAUUUGCUUGCUUUGGGAAGUCGUGCCUGCAGGUGAUCAUGCGGAGGGGUUGAGUGAUGGUAGGGAAAUGCGGAUUCGUCAACGAUGAGGCGGCCAGUUUGAGGAUCCAUGCAUUUGUAGCCUUUAUGAGUAUCUGAAUAGCGAAGAAAGACGCAUGGAGUUGAGCAAAGGGCGAAUUUGUGACGUUGAGGAGGUGGUAUGCACGGAAAGCAGGCAUAGCUGAAGGCUCGAAGAAGAAAAGCUAUAACUGAUGAAAAUGUUGAGUAAUUAGCUUCUGUAGCUGGACCAAUUGUUGUUGAACUGGAAUUCAAGCAGCCCGCCUAUGGGAUAGAAAAGAUUUGUGAAGCUGAUGACUAUCAGAUGCGAGUUCACGGCUAGAAACAUCCAAACAGUUGCCAGCUUUUGAGAAAGUGACCUCUUUGUGGGGACUAACUCAACUUCUGCUUCUGAUGCCUAAUCUGGAAUAUCUUUUCUAUCUACAUAUCAAAUUUUAUGGUGUAUGUCCACUUUGCUACCUCACAUGGUGGGUUCCACGCUCCUGCAGGAAGAAAAAGAAGUGUCGACCUUAAGGCAUCCUGCUGGCAAUUUGUUUUCACGUGAAAUUAUUGAUUGUCCAUUUCUAUAUGGUAAUUUGUUUCCUCAUCUACCUUUUAUUGCCAUGUCCUCCUUAUAAGUUUUCUAUUGUAAUUGUUUUUAACAUA